UGUUUUAGUAACUCAAUUGGUAGAGUGUAAGACUGAAAAUCUUAAAGUUACUAGUUCGAGUCUAGUCUAAAACAA
RNAcentral lists this transfer RNA (75 nucleotides) under Euplotes vanleeuwenhoeki. Its description in RNAcentral is "tRNA-Phe". It matches the Rfam family "tRNA". Rfam says of the family: Transfer RNA (tRNA) molecules are approximately 80 nucleotides in length. Their secondary structure includes four short double-helical elements and three loops (D, anti-codon, and T loops). Further hydrogen bonds mediate the characteristic L-shaped molecular structure. tRNAs have two regions of fundamental functional importance: the anti-codon, which is responsible for specific mRNA codon recognition, and the 3' end, to which the tRNAs corresponding amino acid is attached (by aminoacyl-tRNA synthetases). tRNAs cope with the degeneracy of the genetic code in two manners: having more than one tRNA (with a specific anti-codon) for a particular amino acid; and 'wobble' base-pairing, i.e. permitting non-standard base-pairing at the 3rd anti-codon position. The record is from RNAcentral. Lineage: Eukaryota; Ciliophora; Spirotrichea; Euplotida; Euplotidae.